RNAcentral lists this ribosomal RNA (424 nucleotides) under uncultured bacterium. Its description in RNAcentral is "bacterial SSU rRNA". It matches the Rfam family "Archaeal small subunit ribosomal RNA", at positions 323 to 747 of the family's 1478-position model. The record is from RNAcentral.
CUACGGGAGGCAGCAGGCGCGAAAACUUUACAAUGCUGGCAACAGCGAUAAGGGAACCUCGAGUGCCAGGUUACAAAUCUGGCUGUCGAGAUGCCUAAAAAGCAUUUCAUAGCAAGGGCCGGGCAAGACCGGUGCCAGCCGCCGCGGUAACACCGGCGGCUCGAGUGGUAACCGUUAUUAUUGGGUCUAAAGGGUCUGUAGCCGGCCGGAUAAGUCUCUUGGGAAAUCUGGCAGCUCAACUGUCAGGCUAUCAGGAGAUACUGUCUGGCUCGAGGCCGGGAGAGGUGAGAGGUACUUCAGGGGUAGGGGUGAAAUCUUGUAAUCCUUGAAGGACCACCAGUGGCGAAGGCGUCUCACCAGAACGGACCUGACGGCAAGGGACGAAAGCUAGGGGCACGAACCGGAUUAGAAACCCUGGUAGUCC